AAAGAUUUCUCCCCACCCCCCAAAAAGUGUAAAAAUGCUACUCCUCACUAAUUUUGGGGGGAAAAUAAUUUUUAUGAAAAUGUCAUUAUACAUUUUUGAGUUAUCAAAGUGUAAAUGAGGACUUUUACCAUUUCUGAAAAGCAGGGAUCUUAGUACCACUCACGUCUUUGUGCUAUUGCUGUCAAUUAUAUUAAUUCUCUGUAUCAUUUAAAGCCUACAGUGACUUGGCCAAAGUACUGGGCCAGGAGAGCCUGACUGUCCUGGCUGCAGCAGGGCUCCUCCUUGCAGCCCUCUGCUCCAAACUCACCCAAGUAUUUCCUCGGCAGUAUUUCCUGCAGAGGAUUCUGGGAGUUGUGGUUCUUUCUGCCCGCAGGUCCCACUGACACAUUUCCUGUGUCUCUAUCUGUCGCCAUUGGCUCAGCCAGGCCGGGAGAGCUUCGUUCCGCAGCUAGUGUCCGUUACCUAUGACAAUGAACUAAAUAGGAGUGGUCUGUUCUCAUCUUACCUGAGGGCUGUCGCACAAGUGCCGCGGGGCGGGGGGACCUCAAAAUCAAGAGUGAGAAAGAAGACGAUCUGGCUGAAGAACUGGGAGAUGAGGUGGAGGCGGCUAAUCUCCUGCAGUCCCCACUGCCCAUUCAGGGGUUGAAGGAGUGGGACAUGCUGAAUUCCUCCAUUUUCAAGGGGGAAAUGAGGACACAGAGACACAUACAGAGGAAGAUGAUGUGAAGAGACACAGAUAGAAGACAGGUCUACAAGUCAAGGAGACAGGCCUAUCCUUCCCUCACAGCCCUCAGAAGGAACCAAUCCUACUAACACCUCGAUUUUGGACAUGUAGCCUCCAGAACUGUGAGACAAUAAAUUUCUGUUCUUUAA
Molecule: long non-coding RNA, 873 nt
Organism: Hipposideros armiger (great roundleaf bat)
Lineage: Eukaryota; Metazoa; Chordata; Mammalia; Chiroptera; Hipposideridae
Exons: 2
Source: RefSeq, a predicted model, not a curated record